GCUGGCGGCACGCUUAACACAUGCAAGUCGAACGGGAUCUUCGGAUCUAGUGGCAGACGGGUGAGUAACGCGUGGGAACCUGCCCAGUAGUAGAGAAUAACUUGAGGAAACUUAAGCUAAUACUUUAUACACCCUUCGGGGAAAAGCUUUAUGCGCUAUUGGAUGGGCCCGCGUUAGAUUAGUUUGUUGGUGAGGUAAUGGCUCACCAAGACUACGAUCUAUAGCUGGUCUGAGAGGAUGAUCAGCCACACUGGGACUGAGACACGGCCCAGACUCCUACGGGAGGCAGCAGUGGGGAAUAUUGGACAAUGGGGGCAACCCUGAUCCAGCGAUGCCGCGUGAGUGAUGAAGGCCUUCGGGUUGUAAAACUCUUUCGUCAGGGAAGAUAAUGACGGUACCUGAAGAAGAAGAUCCGGCUAACUCCGUGCCAGCAGCCGCGGUAAUACGGAGGGAUCUAGCGUUAUUCGGAAUUACUGGGCGUAAAGCGAGCGUAGGCGGAUUUGUAAGUUGGAGGUGAAAUCCCAGAGCUUAACUCUGGAACUGCCUUCAAAACUACAUUUCUUGAGUUUGGUAGAGGAGAGUGGAAUUCCUAGUGUAGAGGUGAAAUUCGUAGAUAUUAGGAGGAACACCAGUGGCGAAGGCGACUCUCUGGGCCAAUACUGACGCUGAGGUUCGAAAGCAUGGGUAGCGAACAGGAUUAGAUACCCUGGUAGUCCAUGCAGUAAACGAUGAGUGCUAGAUGUUGGGAAUUUAAAUUUCCAGUAUCGCAGUUAACGCGUUAAGCACUCCGCCUGGGAAGUACGGCCGC
Molecule: ribosomal RNA, 808 nt
Filed under: uncultured Alphaproteobacteria bacterium
Lineage: Bacteria; Pseudomonadati; Pseudomonadota; Alphaproteobacteria
Description: bacterial SSU rRNA
Rfam family: Bacterial small subunit ribosomal RNA
Source: RNAcentral